GACGAACGCUGGCGGCGUGCCUAAUACAUGCAAGUCGAACGAGAGCGACCGGUGCUUGCACUGGUCAAUCUAGUGGCGAACGGGUGAGUAACACGUGGGUAACCUGCCCAUCAGAGGGGGAUAACAUCCGGAAACGGAUGCUAAAACCGCAUAGGUCUUCGAGCCGCAUGGCUUGAAGAGGAAAAGAGGCGCAAGCUUCUGCUGAUGGAUGGACCCGCGGUGCAUUAGCUAGUUGGUGAGGUAGCGGCUCACCAAGGCCGUGAUGCAUAGCCGACCUGAGAGGGUGAUCGGCCACAUUGGGACUGAGACACGGCCCAAACUCCUACGGGAGGCAGCAGUAGGGAAUCUUCCGCAAUGGACGCAAGUCUGACGGAGCAACGCCGCGUGAGUGAAGAAGGUUUUCGGAUCGUAAAACUCUGUUGUUAGAGAAGAACAAGUGCUAGAGUAACUGUUAGCGCCUUGACGGUAUCUAACCAGAAAGCCACGGCUAACUACGUG
This 498-nucleotide ribosomal RNA is filed under the name uncultured bacterium. RNAcentral describes it as "partial 16S ribosomal RNA". It matches the Rfam family "Bacterial small subunit ribosomal RNA", at positions 28 to 507 of the family's 1533-position model. The record is from RNAcentral.